This 390-nucleotide ribosomal RNA is filed under the name uncultured eukaryote. RNAcentral describes it as "SSU rRNA". It matches the Rfam family "Eukaryotic small subunit ribosomal RNA", at positions 567 to 969 of the family's 1831-position model. The record is from RNAcentral.
CCAGCAGCCGCGGUAAUUCCAGCUCCAAUAGCGUAUAUUAAAGUUGUUGCAGUUAAAAAGCUCGUAGUUGGACUUGUGGUGGUUCCUGUGGUCCAAUUUUGGUACUUUGGGGAACUGCCAUCCUUGGGUGGAUCCUGUGUGGCAUUAGGUUGUCGUGCAGGGGAUGCCCAUCGUUUACUGUGAAAAAAUUAGAGUGUUCAAAGCAGGCUUAUGCCGUUGAAUAGAUUAGCAUGGAAUAAUGAGAUAGGACCUUGGUACUAUUUUGUUGGUUUGCGCACCGAGGUAAUGAUUAAUAGGGACAGUUGUGGGUAUUCGUAUUCCAUUGUCAGAGGUGAAAUUCUUGGAUUUGUGGAAGACGAACUAACGCGAAAGCAUUUACCAAGGAUGUUU